This 206-nucleotide unclassified non-coding RNA is filed under the name Hevea brasiliensis (rubber tree). Lineage: Eukaryota; Viridiplantae; Streptophyta; Magnoliopsida; Malpighiales; Euphorbiaceae. The record is from RNAcentral.
GAGAAGGCAAAGGACGCUGGCAUUGUUGGAAUUUUGGUUGGUACUCUUGGUUUAGCUGGUUACCUUCAUAUCAUUCAUCAGAUGAAAGAGCUGAUCACUGGAGCUGGGAAGAAGGCUUAUACACUUGUAAUGGGAAAACCCAAUCCUGCAAAACUUGCCAACUUCCCGGAGUGUGGUGUAUUCAUAUAUGUUUCUUGCGCCCAAAC